This 753-nucleotide ribosomal RNA is filed under the name uncultured Comamonadaceae bacterium. RNAcentral describes it as "bacterial SSU rRNA". It matches the Rfam family "Bacterial small subunit ribosomal RNA", at positions 28 to 776 of the family's 1533-position model. The record is from RNAcentral. Lineage: Bacteria; Pseudomonadati; Pseudomonadota; Betaproteobacteria; Burkholderiales; Comamonadaceae.
AUUGAACGCUGGCGGCAUGCCUUACACAUGCAAGUCGAACGGCAGCACGGGAGCAAUCGUGGUGGCGAGUGGCGAACGGGUGAGUAAUACAUCGGAACGUGCCCAAUCGUGGGGGAUAACGCAGCGAAAGCUGUGCUAAUACCGCAUACGAUCUACGGAUGAAGGCAGGGGAUCGCAAGACCUUGCGCGAAUGGAGCGGCCGAUGGCAGAUUAGGUAGUUGGUGAGGUAAAGGCUCACCAAGCCGUCGAUCUGUAGCUGGUCUGAGAGGACGACCAGCCACACUGGGACUGAGACACGGCCCAGACUCCUACGGGAGGCAGCAGUGGGGAAUUUUGGACAAUGGGCGAAAGCCUGAUCCAGCCAUGCCGCGUGCAGGAUGAAGGCCUUCGGGUUGUAAACUGCUUUUGUACGGAACGAAACGGCCUUUUCUAAUAAAGAGGGCUAAUGACGGUACCGUAAGAAUAAGCACCGGCUAACUACGUGCCAGCAGCCGCGGUAAUACGUAGGGUGCAAGCGUUAAUCGGAAUUACUGGGCGUAAAGCGUGCGCAGGCGGUUAUGUAAGACAGUUGUGAAAUCCCCGGGCUCAACCUGGGAACUGCAUCUGUGACUGCAUAGCUAGAGUACGGUAGAGGGGGAUGGAAUUCCGCGUGUAGCAGUGAAAUGCGUAGAUAUGCGGAGGAACACCGAUGGCGAAGGCAAUCCCCUGGACCUGUACUGACGCUCAUGCACGAAAGCGUGGGGAGCAAACAGG